This 208-nucleotide long non-coding RNA is filed under the name Lathyrus oleraceus (garden pea). Its description in RNAcentral is "Pisum sativum (pea) long non-coding RNA (PSAT_LNC027346)". Lineage: Eukaryota; Viridiplantae; Streptophyta; Magnoliopsida; Fabales; Fabaceae. The record is from RNAcentral.
CCAAUACAUGGACUUACGCCUGACUCCUAACCACAACACAAACAAGGAAACAGAAUGUCAAUACAUGAACUUACAUCCAACUCCAAACAAGCAACACACAAACAGGAAACAGAAUGCCAAUACAUGGACUUAUAUCCGACUCCUAACAACAAAAAACAAAAGGAAACAGAAUGCCAAUACAUGGACUUACAUCCAACUCCAAACAAAC